This 433-nucleotide ribosomal RNA is filed under the name uncultured bacterium. RNAcentral's name for it is "partial 16S ribosomal RNA". It matches the Rfam family "Bacterial small subunit ribosomal RNA", at positions 29 to 507 of the family's 1533-position model. The record is from RNAcentral.
AACGAACGCUGGCGGCAUGCCUUAUACAUGCAAGUCGAACGAGAUCUUCGGAUCUAGUGGCGCACGGGUGCGUAACGCGUGGGAAUCUGCCCUUGGGUUCGGAAUAACUUCUGGAAACGGAAGCUAAUACCGGAUGAUGACGUAAGUCCAAAGAUUUAUCGCCCAAGGAUGAGCCCGCGUAGGAUUAGGUAGUUGGUGAGGUAAAGGCUCACCAAGCCGACGAUCCUUAGCUGGUCUGAGAGGAUGAUCAGCCACACUGGGACUGAGACACGGCCCAGACUCCUACGGGAGGCAGCAGUAGGGAAUAUUGGACAAUGGGCGAAAGCCUGAUCCAGCAAUGCCGCGUGAGUGAUGAAGGCCUUAGGGUUGUAAAGCUCUUUUACCCGGGAUGAUAAUGACAGUACCGGGAGAAUAAGCGCCGGCUAACUCCGUG